RNAcentral lists this unclassified non-coding RNA (393 nucleotides) under soil metagenome. RNAcentral describes it as "partial contains 5.8S ribosomal RNA, internal transcribed spacer 2, and large subunit ribosomal RNA". The stretch from base 2 to 120 matches the Rfam family "5.8S ribosomal RNA", at positions 38 to 154 of the family's 154-position model. The record is from RNAcentral.
GGAAGAACGUAGCGAAAUGCGAUACUUGGUGUGAAUUGCAGAAUCCCGUGAACCAUCGAGUCUUUGAACGCAAGUUGCGCCCGAAGCCAUCAGGUUGAGGGCACGUCUGCCUGGGCGUCACAUAUCGUUGCCCAAUGCCUAUUGCAGUGCAAUAGGAAUUUCUAGGGCGAAUGAUGGCUUCCCGUGAGCGUUGUUGCCUCGCGGUUGGUUGAAAAUCGAGUCCUUGGUAGGGUGUGCCAUGGUAGAUGGUGGUCGAGUUAGAACGAUACCGAUCAUGUGCAUGCUCCCCAAAAUAUGGCCUCUAUGACCCACACGCGUCUUUUGACGCUCAUGACGAGACCUCAGGUCAGGCGGGGCUACCCGCUGAAUUUAAGCAUAUCAAUAAGCGGAGGA